AAUCAAUUUGAAUAUAAGAGCAACUAAUAUGGCGUAUGAUAGUGUUUUAUAUCAAUAUCGUGAGCAUGAUAUCUGUUUAAAUAAUUCAAUUAUACAUUUUACAUUACACUAUUAAAUAUAUUAUUUUAAAUUUAUUUUAUAAUGAAGGUUAGAAUAAAUAUUUCACUUAUUUUUAUAUUCAUAUGUGUUUAUUUGACAACAUAAAUAUAAAUUUUGAUUGGAGAAUGAUUAAUUUUCUAUAUUUUCUAUUCAUAUUCGUGAAAUUUCAAAUAAUACGUUAAUUUUUGGUAAUGAAGUUUAAGUUUAUUGCGAUUCAUAAGAUGUGUUAUAAAUUUAAAAAAAAAUACGGAAAUUAUUGUACUUGUGAAACAAAGAAUAUGUGCAUCAUAGAAGGGUCUCUGUUUUCGCGGAUGCUUCACGUGACCAGAACGGUCUAUUGAUUCUUGGAGGUAGUGCAUGCGCCCUCGUCCUCGCGAUAUCUGCUGCUAAGGGGGUAUGUGAUACACUGGAAACGCUACUCGAAUUCCGUUCGCCAACAGAAGAGACGUGAAAGGGGGCUAUCAUCGAAUAUAGACGCCAAGAGGUGAACAAGGGAUAGGACAGAAAAGGGGAGCUACACGAUCGUGAAAACUCAGUAACACUUCGUGGGGCGCUUGUGCAUGAUUUGCUUUGAUCGUUAUGGUUAUCAUAGUUUUUAUGAGAAAGUUGCAGUAACACCUUAAGAAGACAUGUGGAUCAUGCUAAGACAAGGAGCGAAGUGGUGACCUAAAACUCAUCUUUGGUUCUGACCCUCGAUGCUUACGCUACGGCUGGUGUCGACUCAUUUCCUAAAACAGCCAUAGGCAGUGCCCUUCGCCUUAGAGAAAGGGCUCGAUGCGAUGUGCCGUGAUAGGGACAUGAACCCAAAACUAGUCGAAUUAAGCGAUCUCUUUUUAACGUCGUAUUGGUUAUUAACGUCGCUUUAAAAUUGCUCGAAAGUUCCGUGCGUGUGUCGACGAAAGACUUUUCUUCGCCGGUCCCUUUCUCCUUCGAAAAUUCUGUAUUCACCCGUCCUUCUAAUUUCCCUAAUCCAUUUAUAUCCUUAUAUAGUUCCUUAUUCCUUGUUUAAAAAAUCAUUCGCGUGAGACUAAAGAUUCGUGGUUUGUUAAUCACGAACAUUAAUAUCAAGGUCAACGCCUAUAUCAACGAUAACAUCGAAAAACCAAAAUUUUCAAACAGAAAACAUAUAUAUAAAAUAAAUUCAACGAACGAAAUUUUUUAUUUCAAAAUUAAGUAAGCGAAAAGGUGAUAUAUAAGGGAAACGAUAUAAAAGAAAGUAUUAUUAAAUAAAAUACUUGCUUUUUCACUAUUUAUCUUUUUUGCACUCAAGAAAGACACGCAAAACAAUUUCGAAGAUACUUUUCUAUCAGGUAUAUCUUAUUCACUGGAAAAUCAACUGUGAAGAAGAAUAAAUAGUCAGAAAGUGUAACUCGAAGUAAUAUCCAGGCUGAACUCCAUUUAUUUCAACCUGUGGAAGGUCGCGAGGGAGUGCAUUUGUGGCGGCGGCGGCGGCGGCGG
Molecule: long non-coding RNA, 1557 nt
Organism: Apis dorsata (giant honeybee)
Lineage: Eukaryota; Metazoa; Arthropoda; Insecta; Hymenoptera; Apidae
Exons: 4
Source: RefSeq, a predicted model, not a curated record